GAUGAACGCUGGCGGCGUGCCUAAUACAUGCAGGUCGAGCGAACAGACGAGGAGCUUGCUCCUCUGACGUUAGCGGCGGACGGGUGAGUAACACGUGGAUAACCUACCUAUAAGACUGGGAUAACUUCGGGAAACCGGAGCUAAUACCGGAUAAUAUAUUGAACCGCAUGGUUCAAUAGUGAAAGACGGUUUUGCUGUCACUUAUAGAUGGAUCCGCGCCGCAUUAGCUAGUUGGUAAGGUAACGGCUUACCAAGGCAACGAUGCGUAGCCGACCUGAGAGGGUGAUCGGCCACACUGGAACUGAGACACGGUCCAGACUCCUACGGGAGGCAGCAGUAGGGAAUCUUCCGCGAUGGGCGAAAGCCUGACGGAGCAACGCCGCGUGAGUGAUGAAGGUCUUCGGAUCGUAAAACUCUGUUAUUAGGGAAGAACAAAUGUGUAAGUAACUAUGCACGUCUUGACGGUACCUAAUCAGAAAGCCACGGCUAACUACGUG
RNAcentral lists this ribosomal RNA (497 nucleotides) under uncultured bacterium. RNAcentral describes it as "partial 16S ribosomal RNA". It matches the Rfam family "Bacterial small subunit ribosomal RNA", at positions 28 to 507 of the family's 1533-position model. The record is from RNAcentral.